This is a non-coding RNA of Pelobates cultripes (western spadefoot toad), 235 nucleotides long. NCBI's taxonomy places the organism in Eukaryota, Metazoa, Chordata, Amphibia, Anura, Pelobatidae. The record is from the annotation of a GenBank genome assembly.
CCUGAGUCCAUUACCGUUACUAAGUAAUUAAGGAUUUCACUGUAUUUGUGAUUCCUAGUAGAUAGAUUAAGUGUUCUAUGUCACAUUCAUAGUUCAGCUGAUAUUUUAUUGCACUCUUUGUGUAUUUAUAUGUUUUAAUUGACCCUUUUAUUUGUAGUGUAGGUAUGUGUUUCUUUCAGUUUUACUCCCAGUUAGUGAAUUGUCUACUAACAAGUUAUCCCCCACUAUACACUCC